AACGCGAAGAACCUUACCUGGGCUCGAAAUGUAGUGGACUGGGGUAGAAAUAUCCCUUUCUCGCAAGAGACUGCUAUAUAGGUGCUGCAUGGCUGUCGUCAGCUCGUGUCGUGAGAUGUUGGGUUAAGUCCCGCAACGAGCGCAACCCUUAUCCCUAGUUGCCAUCGGGUCAAGCCGGGCACUCUAGUGAAACCGCCCCGGAUAACGGGGAGGAAGGUGGGGAUGACGUCAAGUCCUCAUGGCCUUUAUGUCCAGGGCUACACACGUGCUACAAUGGUCGGUACAAACCGUCGCAAACCCGCGAGGGGGAGCUAAUCGGAAAAAGCCGACCUCAGUUCGGAUUGGAGUCUGCAACUCGACUCCAUGAAGCUGGAAUCGCUAGUAAUCGCGGAUCAGAACGCCGCGGUGAAUACGUUCCCGGGCCUUGUA
This 429-nucleotide ribosomal RNA is filed under the name uncultured Acidobacterium sp. RNAcentral describes it as "bacterial SSU rRNA". It matches the Rfam family "Bacterial small subunit ribosomal RNA", at positions 958 to 1385 of the family's 1533-position model. Lineage: Bacteria; Pseudomonadati; Acidobacteriota; Terriglobia; Terriglobales; Acidobacteriaceae. The record is from RNAcentral.